AGAUUUUGAUCCUGGUUCAGGAUGAACGCUAGCGGCAGGCUUAACACAUGCAAGUCGAGGGGCAGCAUGUCCAAGCAAUGGAUGAUGGCGACCGGCGGAAGGGUGCGUAACGCGUGAGCAACAUGCCCUAUACAGGGAGAUACACCAGGGAAACUUGGUCUAAUAUCCCAUAGCAUUCAUUGAAGGCAUCUUUAAUGAAUUAAAGCUUCGGUGGUAUAGGAUUGGCUCGCGUGACAUUAGCCAGAUGGUGAGGUAACGGCUCACCAUAGCAAUGAUGUCUAGGGGUUUUGAGAGGAAGGCCCCCCACACUGGGACUGAGACACGGCCCAGACUCCUACGGGAGGCAGCAGUGAGGAAUAUUGGACAAUGGAUGGAAAUCUGAUCCAGCCAUGCCGCGUGCAGGAAGACGGCCUUAUGGGUUGUAAACUGCUUUUAUACGGGAGCAAUAAGGGUUACGAGUAAUCCGAUGAGAGUACUGUAUGAAUAAGGAUCGGCUAACUCCGUGCCAGCAGCCGCGGUAAUACGGAGGAUCCGAGCGUUAUCCGGAAUUAUUGGGUUUAAAGGGUGCGUAGGCGGCCAUUUAAGUCAGCGGUGAAAUUUUGCAGCUUAACUGUAACAGUGCCGUUGAUACUGUUUGGCUAGGAUUUGGUUGUAGUGUGCGGAAUGUGUGGUGUAGCGGUGAAAUGCUUAGAUAUCACACAGAACACCGAUUGCGAAGGCAGCACACUAAGUCAUUAUUGACGCUGAGGCACGAAAGUGUGGGGAUCAAACAGGAUUAGAUACCCUGGUAGUCCACACUGUAAACGAUGAUAACUCGCUGUCGGCGAUACACAGUCGGGGCCAAGCGAAAGC
This 852-nucleotide ribosomal RNA is filed under the name uncultured bacterium. RNAcentral's name for it is "bacterial SSU rRNA". It matches the Rfam family "Bacterial small subunit ribosomal RNA", at positions 8 to 858 of the family's 1533-position model. The record is from RNAcentral.